RNAcentral lists this non-coding RNA (117 nucleotides) under Homo sapiens (human). The record is from Rfam by way of RNAcentral. Lineage: Eukaryota; Metazoa; Chordata; Mammalia; Primates; Hominidae.
GCCAGGCGUGAUGGCUCAUGCCUGUAAUCCCAGUAUUUUGGGAGGCUGAGGUGGGUGGAUCACCUGAGGUCAGGAGUUUGAGACCAGCCUGGCCAACAUGGUGAAACCCCGUCUCUA